Molecule: long non-coding RNA, 941 nt
Organism: Magnolia sinica
Lineage: Eukaryota; Viridiplantae; Streptophyta; Magnoliopsida; Magnoliales; Magnoliaceae
Exons: 4
Source: RefSeq, a predicted model, not a curated record
AAAGCUACCUGGAAGGGCAAUGGGCAACCACAUAAUAAGCCCCAUCAACACACACCAACCUACUUUUGCAGGAAGAAUGAUUUUCAUUCAUAGAAUUUUGAAUCUUAGCUUCAUUCUCUAUACAUCUUUUUAUAAUCAAGCCAAUGUAACCCUAUGUUCUUAUUGCAAUUAGGUUCAGAAGGCUUAUCUGCAUUUUCAUCCAUAUUUCUUAUGUGAACUCUCUUUCAUUUAAGCUUUGUUACAAUUAUUUACAGGAAGAGGCAGUUUGCAGUGGUUGAAAAUCCUGGUUUUUGGAACUGGACAUUUACUUUAAAGGAUAGUGAUGGGAACGUGCUUGCUGAGAUUGAUCGUGACUGGAGGGGCAUCGGCUUUGAGCUCUUCACCGAUGCAGGUCAGUACGUCAUCCGGUUUGGGCAUGCGGAUCCAAUUUCUAAGACUGGGCCAGCUCAUGCAAUUCAAGAAUUAGAAAUUAGCCGCCCAUUGACUCUAUCAGAAAGGGCUGUGGCUGUUGCUCUUGCUGUGUCAUUGGACAACGACUAUUUCUCUAGGCAUGGGGGUUGGGGAGUCCCUUUCAUUGCAGUCGGCGAAUAGACAGGUGCGUGGCACACUGCUUUUGCAGUUAUUCCUUUGUGCUGUUGUCUGCUUGUGUUUUUCCCAAGAAUCUCCUUCACCUUUGUCCAUGUAAGUUCUGUGAGAGAGUAUAGGGGUUGGUUUAGCUGCUGCUGUAACAAAUGCUGUUAACCAACUUGCAAGCAAAAUGAUCAAAAUAGCGUAUAACUCUACAGCAUGUGAUGAUUGAAGGUAGUUUGUACCAUCUCGGCAAAGAAACAAUGUUUUUUUUUUUUUUUUUUUUUUUUUUAAAGGAUAAAGAAAUAAUGUUAUUUGUACCAUCUCGGCAAAGAAACAAUGUCAUUGCUGAAAACGAGAUUCAUUUGAAGCCA